This is a long non-coding RNA of Diabrotica virgifera virgifera (western corn rootworm), 1236 nucleotides long. RefSeq lists it as uncharacterized. Lineage: Eukaryota; Metazoa; Arthropoda; Insecta; Coleoptera; Chrysomelidae. The transcript is spliced from 2 exons. The record is from RefSeq and is a predicted model, not a curated record.
AAUUAUCUUCUAAAGUCCACUUUACAUCAACAAUAAAUUGGACAAGAAAUUGACCAAGUUAUUCAAGGCCAAAUUUGACGUGUAAAAGCACACUUUGACAUCUAAGUUUGUUCGUUAUAAACUUCACGUGAAGAAAUUGACGAAAAAGAAAAUUGUUCUAUUUUUUCAUUUAUUUGGCGUGAAUUCAGUGUCACCAACCUGUGUCCAUUUGGCGGGAAGUGGAAGUAGAGCUGUAGAGCUUUUUGUUUAUUAUUAUUUGUUGAGGUUGAGUCUUUCAUGUUCAUGACAACCUAAAAAUUUUGAUUGGAAAAUGCAUAUAAGAUAAGGGGGUGGGAAAAUGGAAAUUAGUGGCUUUUUUGCAGUUCUGUCUGUUAGUUUUGCUCUGGCUAGGUCUCUUUUGUUUAAACAAUUAUAAUCAGCUGAAAGUGGUCUACAAAAAAACCAGGAAGGAAACGUAUUAUAGCCUUGUUGUGGCUAUGAAAGGCAAAAGAAAGAUACCUAUAAAAAGUGUAUUGACUAGUUGGAAGAAACUCCACAUUGUCGAUGCAUAAUAAGAUAUUACUUUAUAAACAAAUAUCAAGACCUAGGAAUGGAACCUGGAUAAUAUAGUCAUCAAGAAGAUAGCAGGAGGUCAUGAGCAACAACAACUUCAUAAGUAUGAGAAUAUUGAGGAAAUCCAGCUCCUCGAUAUCUACUACUGGACAAACUAGAAGAUUGAAGAGGACAAAGCCUUUUGAACUAGUUUGAGUGAUAGGUGAUAGUGAAAAGCAGAGCGUAGUGCUUGUGUGCCUGUGUAUGUUAGAAUAGUGCACGAUCUUGUUAGAUUAGAUAAGAGACGCUAUAGGGUAAGCUCUUCAUUUUAAGGAACAGUAGUAAUUUAGGUUAAAUUAAAAUUGCUCAUUGGUCAGUUAUGACCAGAUUGUAAUUCUCUGAUGUUUGGCAAAAAGGGCUGAAGUCAGAAUUGCACAUCAAUAAUGUUUUGAUGAUUUCUGGACCAUAAAAAAAGUGUUGCAGACUUAAACUGUAUGUACCAAUAAAAAGAGCCGAUUUUUCUGGUCCAGAAAUCAUCAAAACAUUAUCGAUGUGCAAUUCUGACUUAAGCCCUUUUUCCCAAACAUCAGAGAAUUGCAAUGUACAAUUCAAUACAAAUGAAUCAUCAUCGUAGUGAUGAUUAUGGAAAAAAAUAUAUAUAUAUAGAAAUAUAUAUAUUUUGUGCAAUAAAAAUGUUUAUAUUUA